UUCGGACCUGCAAAGAUUAUAGGU
Molecule: non-coding RNA, 24 nt
Filed under: Arabidopsis thaliana (thale cress)
Lineage: Eukaryota; Viridiplantae; Streptophyta; Magnoliopsida; Brassicales; Brassicaceae
Source: RNAcentral